GACGAACGCUGGCGGCGUGCUUAACACAUGCAAGUCGAACGGAAAGGCCCUGCUUUUGUGGGGUGCUCGGGUGGCGAACGGGUGAGUAACACGUGAGUAACCUGCCCUUGACUUUGGGACAACUUCAGGAAACUGGGGCUAAUACCGGAUAGGAGCUCCUGCUGCAUGGUGGGGGUUGGAAAGUUUCGGCGGUUGGGGAUGGACUCGCGGCUUAUCAGCUUGUUGGUGGGGUAGUGGCUUACCAAGGCUUUGACGGGUAGCCGGCCUGAGAGGGUGACCGGCCACAUUGGGACUGAGAUACGGCCCAGACUCCUACGGGAGGCAGCAGUGGGGAAUAUUGCACAAUGGGCGGAAGCCUGAUGCAGCAACGCCGCGUGCGGGAUGACGGCCUUCGGGUUGUAAACCGCUUUCGCCUGUGACGAAGCGUGAGUGACGGUAAUGGGUAAAGAAGCACCGGCUAACUACGUG
RNAcentral lists this ribosomal RNA (468 nucleotides) under uncultured bacterium. Its description in RNAcentral is "partial 16S ribosomal RNA". It matches the Rfam family "Bacterial small subunit ribosomal RNA", at positions 28 to 507 of the family's 1533-position model. The record is from RNAcentral.